UCAUGUCUGCACCAGGCUGGGAUUUGCAGCCCAGGAUCCUGCCUCACUGCUGUGCCCAUGGGAAGCAGCAUGGCUCUUGCUCCUCCCAGAAAUAGUGGUGCUGCGCUGGCACAGGCUGCCCAGGGAGGUGGUGGGGUCACCAUCCCUGGAGGUGUUCCAGAACCGUGUGGAUGUGGCACUGAGGGACACAGUUGGUGGGCAUGGUGGGGAUGGGCUGAUGGUUGGGCUGGAUGAUCUUAGAGGUUAUUACCAGCCUUAAUGAUUCUGUGAUUCUAUGAUUCCUCUAGCAUUCUGCUGCUGCCGGGAGCUUGAGCUCUGCAAGACAGCAGGGCCUUCAAGUGAUGUUCUUUGUGUGGGAGCCUCCUGGAAGCAGCUGGAGGUCUCCAGGCCAUGCUUAAAAGUUAUCCACCCUUUGCCUCCCAUCUUUAUCCAAACCAUUGCCUCCUCCUCCUGCCUCUGCCACAGUAGCCUCCCUGCAGCAAGAAGGCCUUGUGGGCUGCCUGUUUCUCUGGGACCAGCCUGUGCCAGUACAGCACUGCUCUUUCUGAGAAGAAAAUUUUCCUCAUACCCAACUUGAACCUCCCCCAGUGCAACCUGAGGCCAUUCCCUCUUACCCUGUCACUGUUACCUGGGAGCAGAGGCCGACUCCCACCUCACCACAACCUCCUUUCAGGUCCUUGUAGAGAGCAAUGAGGUCUCCCCUGAGCUCCUCUUCUCAGACUGCACAACCCCAGUUCCCUCAGCCGCUCUCCAUCAGACUUGUGCUCCAGACCCCUCACAGCUCCACUGCCCUUCUCUGAACAUGCUCCAGGGUAGUGGGGAGCCCAGAACUGAGCACAGCACUCGAGAUGAGGCCUCACCUUCCCCGCUCCUUCCCUUGCUUGGCCUCCUGGUUUCGGAGGCCGGCCCUGUCUGGGGCACCGAGCAGAAUUCGGCAUGCCUGAUUCCCAGACGUUGCCUUCCCCCUCCUGCCCUGACCCACAAAGGCGAGGAGGAAGAGGGACAAAGAGGAGAGGAAGAAGAAGGGAGCACAUCUUUAGUCCUGUCUGAAAAAAACCCACGAAAGAAAGGAAAUGGAGGUCGGUUUUCUUGUACUGCUUUGAGCUGGACAUGUGCAAUACCCUCGGAAGAACGCGGCCCCGCCAGCCCUCGUCCCUCCCCAUCCCUCGCAGGGGGUCCAGCACUCGGCCCCCACCUCGCCCUGUGAAUGCUUCCCAGCUCCGCGAAGCUUUUGGGUUUAACUCCAAACACCGCUCUCCCUUACGCCACAGUCCGGGGCACCAAGCAUUGCUCGUCCCUAUGGGUCGGUGGGGGUUCGUUUUGAAUGUUUGUCCCCUUUUUUAAAAAAAAAUACUGAGUUUUUUUUUUGGGGGGGGGGGCGGGGGAAGUGAGCAGAGGUCUGGAUGCCCAGCCUGCUCCCCUCACCCUGCCUUGGAGGCUGAGGCUGAGAUAUUUGGGGGGCAAUGGGGUGGAGGCAUCGGGAUGCUUUUAAGCAGAAACCCCACUGGGAGCCGAAGCGGGAGCCUGGCAGGCUCCUGAAACUGGAGCAGCAGGGAUGGGAAUGGAAAAAAAAAAAACAUAUUAAAACAAAAAAUUUGUAAAAAUUAGGUCUGAGCUGCCCCAGGGCUUGGCGCACCCAUCCAGCGCACCCCACAGCUUU
This is a long non-coding RNA of Numida meleagris (helmeted guineafowl), 1660 nucleotides long. Lineage: Eukaryota; Metazoa; Chordata; Aves; Galliformes; Numididae. The record is from Ensembl.